Molecule: non-coding RNA, 833 nt
Filed under: Pan troglodytes (chimpanzee)
Lineage: Eukaryota; Metazoa; Chordata; Mammalia; Primates; Hominidae
Source: RNAcentral
ACCCACAAGCUCGAGGCUGCUGCCAUCUGGAAGGCCGGGAGAGAGACGGGCCUGGCCAGGACAGGGACCCGCUGCUUGCAGGGGAGGCAUGUGUGUGGAGAACGCCUAGGAGCACGUGGGUGGCCACGAACCCUGACCGUGCAGGUCGAGAAACUCUUCCAGGAUAGUAUGUGGUGGAUCAUGUCCGCCUAAAAGUGAGUCAAUUCUGCCAAUGAGCAAGUCUUCCAGACUGUUGGGCCCUAGACGAAGAACGACCUGCCAGCCGGGAAUUCUCUGCAAAGGACAAUGUCAAAACUCAUCUGAGGCAUCCAUGUCUGUCCUACAGCAAGCUUCCCCGCGACACUGGAGGGACCUAGGCUCCCGGCAGUUUUCAGGAGCCAGCCCUGGGCUAGGGGCUCCACAGUACUUGCAAACAAAAAGAGUUCCAAAAACCCAAUUUGCAUUCACCCAUGUAAGAAAUGCCUGAUAAGGAAGUAGCUUCUCUAUUUCCUGGGAUGGGGAUUUUUGCUCUGGGGCAUCAGAUAAUAUUAUUUGUAAGCUAGUCAUCACCAAUCCUUCGUUUUCUUCUGGCUUAGCAGAUUCAGGUCGAUUUAUGGCACUGACUAUCACUGCUUUAAAGUUAUCAAAAAUCACUUUAAAAGAAAACGAUGAAAUUGCAGAAAAGUGGAGUUUAUUGAAAAUCUGACUGUGGUCCCUUGAAGUUACUGCUUACAGGAUCAGCUGACUUUGGAGAGAAAGCCAUUAUCAGAAUCAAGCAGCAAAUUACUGGCUCCAGAGUUCCUAGCUUGCUACAAUAUCAGCUGUCUAAACCAAAACAAAGCAUUUUGUUGAAG